AUGUAAUGGCAGGAAGAAGGUGUGUCUUACUCUUUGGCCUGUUUCUGCCUUGCUGUUUGCAGCUGCCAUAACUGCAGCCCCACCAUGCCACCCGGCCUUGGAGCCAACUGAGUACGGACUGAAACCUCCAAAAAAGAGAGAAGGAGCCCUGCCGGGGCAGCCGCAGGCCCAGAGCUCCCAGCGUCCCUCCAGCUCCCCACCGCCAUGCCCACACCAGCAUCAGACUUGGGAUUUGGACCUGGGAGGACCAGAACCAUGGGCGUUUAUAAGGAGGGGAGGACCUGAAGCUGCCCUGGAAGGUGAGGGGACUGCGGUCUAAGAAGGAGGAAGGGACCCUCACACUCUGACUCUGGGGGUCAGAAAGGAACCAGCAGAAGCGGGACAGCAAGAAAAGUUCAAAGCUCUGUAGAAGCAGCAGCACAGGAACAAACCUUUCGAGCCCUUUCAAUAAAUGACAGGGGCACAGUGGCAGUAUUUUUAUAAAGGAAAAUAAGAAUUUCCACUUCCUCCAAAAAUAAAAUUAAAAAAUUGGUGAAACCCAGCACCGGUGAGAGCGUGGCUGGUGGGUGUAUUCUCCUAUGCCUCUCCUGAGGGGAUCCAUUUGUGCAACCUCCCCGCAAGGAAUUUGGUAAUGGUCACUGGGAUUGUAAAUGCACACAUCCUUUGCAAACCCAGCUGCUAGGAAGGAACCCAGUGGAUGUUCUUUCCAAAGUUCUUGCAAGCAUCUGGAAAAUGAUGAUUCAUUGCAGUAUAUUUUACAGUAGCAAAACCCUUUGUCCUGAAGCCCUGCCCAGGACCUAGUGCCUCUGUGACAGAGGAGAGGCAUCUGCAAGUCCCCAGCAAGUCCCCAAGUUACGUUUACUCAAGAAUUUGUUCAAGCCAGCCACACACAAUUGAAGAAAGUGAGUCUCAGAGGAAGAAAGUGAAUUUCUGUAGUCCCACGGCAGGUUCCUGUUGGAAUACAGAGCAACACGAAAGUCACCGACCCUCUAGGUGAAAGCUGGCUGCUUAAGGUCAUCGUCCCUCCCGCUUUUGGUUGGGGAUUUCAGCACCCAGCAGCAACCUCACUCUGCUCACAUCUCAUAAAUCAAAUUAAAGCAAAGAAAACUUCCUGCUUCAAUAUUGAAA
Long non-coding RNA from Cavia porcellus (domestic guinea pig), 1128 nucleotides. RefSeq lists it as uncharacterized. The record is from RefSeq and is a predicted model, not a curated record. The transcript is spliced from 2 exons. NCBI's taxonomy places the organism in Eukaryota, Metazoa, Chordata, Mammalia, Rodentia, Caviidae.